UUAAGUCCCGCAACGAGCGCAACCCUCGACCUUAGUUGCCAGCAUUCAGUUGGGCACUCUAAGGUGACUGCCGGCUAAAAGUCGGAGGAAGGUGGGGAUGACGUCAAAUCAUCAUGCCCCUUAUGACCUGGGCUACACACGUGCUACAAUGGGCGGUACAAAGGGUCGCAAUACCGCGAGGUGGAGCUAAUCCCAAAAAGCCGGUCUCAGUUCGGAUUGGAGUCUGCAACUCGACUCCAUGAAGUCGGAAUCGCUAGUAAUCGCGUAUCAGCGUGACGCGGUGAAUACGUUCCCGGGCCUU
This 301-nucleotide ribosomal RNA is filed under the name uncultured Anoxybacillus sp. Its description in RNAcentral is "bacterial SSU rRNA". It matches the Rfam family "Bacterial small subunit ribosomal RNA", at positions 1080 to 1382 of the family's 1533-position model. Lineage: Bacteria; Bacillati; Bacillota; Bacilli; Caryophanales; Anoxybacillaceae. The record is from RNAcentral.